AGCAGUCGCCGCGGGAAUACGAAGGGGGCUAGCGUUGUUCGGAUUUACUGGGCGUAAAGCGCACGUAGGCGGAUCGAUCAGUCAGGGGUGAAAUCCCAGAGCUCAACUCUGGAACUGCCUUUGAUACUGUCGAUCUGGAGUAUGGAAGAGGUGAGUGGAAUUCCGAGUGUAGAGGUGAAAUUCGUAGAUAUUCGGAGGAACACCAGUGGCGAAGGCGGCUCACUGGUCCAUUACUGACGCUGAGGUGCGAAAGCGUGGGGAGCAAACAGGAUUAGAUACCCCAGUAGUCCCUGUCUCUUAUAC
Molecule: ribosomal RNA, 303 nt
Filed under: uncultured bacterium
Lineage: Bacteria
Description: partial 16S ribosomal RNA
Rfam family: Bacterial small subunit ribosomal RNA
Source: RNAcentral